UGCCAGCCGCCGCGGUAAUACGAACUGUGCGAACGUUAUUCGGAAUCACUGGGCUUACAGGGUGCGUAGGCGGCUUGUUAAGCAGGGUGUGAAAUCCCUCGGCUCAACCGAGGAAUUGCGCCCUGAACUGGCGAGCUUGAGUGGGACAGAGGUGUGUGGAACUUCCAGUGGAGCGGUGAAAUGUGUUGAUAUUGGAAGGAACGCCAGAGGCGAAAGCGGCACACUGGGUCUCAACUGACGCUGAGGCACGAAAGCCAGGGGAGCAAACGGGAUUAGAUACCCCGGUAGUCCUGGCUGUAAACGAUGAGCACUAGCUGGCAGCGGCGGAUGCCGUUGCCAACGUAGCGAAAGUGUUAAGUGCUCCGCCUGGGGAGUAUGGUCGCAAGGCUGAAACUCAAAGAAAUUGACGG
This 410-nucleotide ribosomal RNA is filed under the name uncultured Planctomycetaceae bacterium. Its description in RNAcentral is "bacterial SSU rRNA". It matches the Rfam family "Bacterial small subunit ribosomal RNA", at positions 506 to 916 of the family's 1533-position model. Lineage: Bacteria; Pseudomonadati; Planctomycetota; Planctomycetia; Planctomycetales; Planctomycetaceae. The record is from RNAcentral.